GUUCCGACUCAUAAGUGACCCGCGAUUAUUCGCACAGUCUUCACGUGAUUGUAGCACUUAAUCGUACUUAUUUACACCCAGAUAUGUCGUACAGACCACUAUAGGUGGUUCCGACUCGUGUGCAGGGAUAUAUGAUGAGCUCUGGAUAAGUCGUACAGGUCACUAUAGGUGACUCCGACUUAUGAGCUAGCAUAUGUGUUGAGAUAUGGAUAGUUGUACAGGUCACUAUA
Molecule: long non-coding RNA, 230 nt
Filed under: Malus domestica (apple)
Lineage: Eukaryota; Viridiplantae; Streptophyta; Magnoliopsida; Rosales; Rosaceae
Description: long non-coding RNA (MDOM_LNC013563)
Source: RNAcentral